CCUUUGCUCAUUGACGUUACCCGCAGAAGAAGCACCGGCUAACUCCGUGCCAGCAGCCGCGGUAAUACGGAGGGUGCAAGCGUUAAUCGGAAUUACUGGGCGUAAAGCGCACGCAGGCGGUUUGUUAAGUCAGAUGUGAAAUCCCCGGGCUCAACCUGGGAACUGCAUCUGAUACUGGCAAGCUUGAGUCUCGUAGAGGGGGGUAGAAUUCCAGGUGUAGCGGUGAAAUGCGUAGAGAUCUGGAGGAAUACCGGUGGCGAAGGCGGCCCCCUGGACGAAGACUGACGCUCAGGUGCGAAAGCGUGGGGAGCAAACAGGAUU
RNAcentral lists this ribosomal RNA (321 nucleotides) under Shigella flexneri. Its description in RNAcentral is "bacterial SSU rRNA". It matches the Rfam family "Bacterial small subunit ribosomal RNA", at positions 459 to 779 of the family's 1533-position model. The record is from RNAcentral. Lineage: Bacteria; Pseudomonadati; Pseudomonadota; Gammaproteobacteria; Enterobacterales; Enterobacteriaceae.